UACGUAGGGGGCAAGCGUUGUUCGGAAUUACUGGGCGCAAAGGGCGCGUAGGCGGCCUUCUAAGUCAGACGUGAAAUCCCCCGGCUUAACCUGGGAACUGCGUCUGAUACUGGGAGGCUUGAGUAUGGGAGAGGGAUGUAGAAUUCCAGGUGUAGCGGUGAAAUGCGUAGAUAUCUGGAGGAAUACCGGUGGCGAAGGCGGCAUCCUGGACCAUAACUGACGCUGAGGCGCGAAAGCUAGGGGAGCAAACGGG
RNAcentral lists this ribosomal RNA (253 nucleotides) under uncultured bacterium. Its description in RNAcentral is "partial 16S ribosomal RNA". It matches the Rfam family "Bacterial small subunit ribosomal RNA", at positions 524 to 776 of the family's 1533-position model. The record is from RNAcentral.